GACGAACGCUGGCGGCGUGCUUAACACAUGCAAGUCGAACGGAAAGGCCCUGCUUUUGUGGGGUGCUCGAGUGGCGAACGGGUGAGUAACACGUGAGUAACCUGCCCUUGACUUUGGGAUAACUUCAGGAAACUGGGGCUAAUACCGGAUAGGAGCUCCUGCUGCAUGGUGGGGGUUGGAAAGUUUCGGCGGUUGGGGAUGGACUCGCGGCUUAUCAGCUUGUUGGUGGGGUAGUGGCUUACCAAGGGUUUGACGGGUACCCGGCCUGAGAGGGUGACCGGCCACAUUGGGAAUGAGAUACGGCCCAGACUCCUACGGGAGGCAGCAGUGGGGAAUAUUGCAAAAUGGGCGGAAGCCUGAUGCAGCAACGCCGCGUGCGGGAUGACGGCCUUCGGGUUGUAAACCGCUUUCGCCUGUGACGAAGCGUGAGUGACGGUAAUGGGUAAAGAAGCACCGGCUAACUACGUG
RNAcentral lists this ribosomal RNA (468 nucleotides) under uncultured bacterium. RNAcentral describes it as "partial 16S ribosomal RNA". It matches the Rfam family "Bacterial small subunit ribosomal RNA", at positions 28 to 507 of the family's 1533-position model. The record is from RNAcentral.